CAGGCUUAACACAUGCAAGUCGAGGGGCAGCAUGAACUUAGCUUGCUAAGUUUGAUGGCGACCGGCGCACGGGUGAGUAACACGUAUCCAACCUGCCGAUGACUCGGGGAUAGCCUUUCGAAAGAAAGAUUAAUACCCGAUGGCAUAGUUCUUCCGCACGGUGGAACUAUUAAAGAAUUUCGGUCAUCGAUGGGGAUGCGUUCCAUUAGGUUGUUGGCGGGGUAACGGCCCACCAAGCCUUCGAUGGAUAGGGGUUCUGAGAGGAAGGUCCCCCACAUUGGAACUGAGACACGGUCCAAACUCCUACGGGAGGCAGCAGUGAGGAAUAUUGGUCAAUGGACGAGAGUCUGAACCAGCCAAGUAGCGUGAAGGAUGACUGCCCUAUGGGUUGUAAACUUCUUUUAUACGGGAAUAAAGUGAGGCACGUGUGCCUUUUUGUAUGUACCGUAUGAAUAAGGAUCGGCUAACUCCGUGCCAGCAGCCGCGGUAAUACGGAGGAUCCGAGCGUUAUCCGGAUUUAUUGGGUUUAAAGGGAGCGUAGGCGGACGCUUAAGUCAGUUGUGAAAGUUUGCGGCUCAACCGUAAAAUUGCAGUUGAUACUGGGUGUCUUGAGUACAGUAGAGGCAGGCGGAAUUCGUGGUGUAGCGGUGAAAUGCUUAGAUAUCACGAAGAACUCCGAUUGCGAAGGCAGCUUGCUGGACUGUAACUGACGCUGAUGCUCGAAAGUGUGGGUAUCAAACAGGAUUAGAUACCCUGGUAGUCCACACAGUAAACGAUGAAUACUCGCUGUUUGCGAUAUACAGUAAGCGGCCAAGCGAAAGCGUUAAGCAUUCCACCUGGGGAGUACGCCGGCAACGGUGAAACUCAAAGGAAUUGACGGGGGCCCGCACAAGCGGAGGAACAUGUGGUUUAAUUCGAUGAUACGCGAGGAACCUUACCCGGGCUUGAAUUGCAACUGAAUGAUGUGGAGACAUGUCAGCCGCAAGGCAGUUGUGAAGGUGCUGCAUGGUUGUCGUCAGCUCGUGCCGUGAGGCGUCGGCUUAAGUGCCAUAACGAGCGCAACCCUUAUCGAUAGUUACCAUCAGGUUAUGCUGGGGACUCUGUCGAGACUGCCGUCGUAAGAUGUGAGGAAGGUGGGGAUGACGUCAAAUCAGCACGGCCCUUACGUCCGGGGCUACACACGUGUUACAAUGGGGGGUACAGAAGGCAGCUACACGGCGACGUGAUGCUAAUCCCGAAAGCCUCUCUCAGUUCGGAUUGGAGUCUGCAACCCGACUCCAUGAAGCUGGAUUCGCUAGUAAUCGCGCAUCAGCCACGGCGCGGUGAAUACGUUCCCGGGCCUUGUACACACCGCCCGUCAAGCCAUGAAAGCCGGGGGUACCUGAAGUGCGUAACCGCAAGGAGCGCCCUAGGGUAAAACUGGUGAUUGG
Molecule: ribosomal RNA, 1430 nt
Filed under: uncultured organism
Description: 16S ribosomal RNA
Rfam family: Bacterial small subunit ribosomal RNA
Source: RNAcentral